CCUACGGGAGGCAGCAGUGGGGAAUAUUGGACAAUGGGGGGAACCCUGAUCCAGCCAUGCCGCGUGUGUGAAGAAGGCCCUCGGGUUGUAAAGCACUUUCAGUGAGGAAGAACGCCUGGUGGUUAAUACCCAUCAGGAAAGACAUCACUCACAGAAGAAGCACCGGCUAACUCCGUGCCAGCAGCCGCGGUAAUACGGAGGGUGCGAGCGUUAAUCGGAAUUACUGGGCGUAAAGCGCGCGUAGGUGGCUUGAUAAGCCGGUUGUGAAAGCCCCGGGCUCAACCUGGGAACGGCAUCCGGAACUGUCAAGCUAGAGUGCAGGAGAGGAAGGUAGAAUUCCAGGUGUAGCGGUGAAAUGCGUAGAGAUCGGGAGGAAUACCAGUGGCGAAGGCGGCCUUCUGGACUGACACUGACACUGAGGUGCGAAAGCGUGGGUAGCAAACAGGAUUAGAUACCCUUGUAGUC
This 465-nucleotide ribosomal RNA is filed under the name Vreelandella stevensii. RNAcentral describes it as "partial 16S ribosomal RNA". It matches the Rfam family "Bacterial small subunit ribosomal RNA", at positions 338 to 795 of the family's 1533-position model. The record is from RNAcentral. Lineage: Bacteria; Pseudomonadati; Pseudomonadota; Gammaproteobacteria; Oceanospirillales; Halomonadaceae.